AAAUUGUGGUGGGAGCAUUUCCUCAAAAUGUCCUUGAACCUUUCAUAGGCUUCAAAAAGAGUCUCCGAGUCUCCUUGCCUAAAUGUAGAGAUUUCUUGUCUCAAUUU
Small nucleolar RNA from Dioscorea cayenensis subsp. rotundata (Guinea yam), 107 nucleotides. The record is from RefSeq and is a predicted model, not a curated record. Lineage: Eukaryota; Viridiplantae; Streptophyta; Magnoliopsida; Dioscoreales; Dioscoreaceae.